GACUUUUCAGAAAGAAAGAAUGUAAACAACAUUGUUGUUCCCCAAACCGGCCACUUUACCCACACCUGAACCAACCAACCAGUGGACUUAAAGAGGCAGAUGUUUUUUCUUGUUUUUUAUCUAGGUAAGAGAAUCAUAUUUAAAAUCAUUAUUUAAUCAAUAUAUCAAAGAUAGUAUGUAUGUAUGCAGACAUAAAACUAUCUUAAGACUUCCACUUCUACGAAGAUGAAGUACUCGUCCUCUUCUUUCCACUAAGUACAACUAAAACCCCUGGGUAUUACAUACCAAAUAAACACAAGAGGCUCUAAAAGGCUUAGAGCUGGAGAAGUCAGCAACCCACAAAUGCCAAGGAGUGAAGAAAUAAUGCCUGAAAACUUCCCAAAUUUGAUGAAAGACAGGAAGGUAAAUAUCAAAGAAGCUCAGUGAACUCCAAGUAAGAUGAAAUUUAAAAACCCACAGUAAGUCACAUAAACUUUCAAAGAGAGACUUUUGACAGCAUUGAGAGAAGCAAAUUAUUACAUGCAAGGGAUCCUCAAUAAGAUCAUUAUCAGAUUUCUCAUCAGAAACUUUGGAAGCCAGAAGACAAUGCAAAAUAGGGAAAAAACCCCAAAAAACAGCAGAACUGUCCUUCAAAAGUUAGGUGGAAAUUAAGACAUUUCCAGAUAAACAAAAGCUGAGGACGUCUGUGACCAUUUGACAUGCCUUGAAAGAAAUGCCCAAGGGAUUUCUGCAAGGUGAAAUGAAAGGACUCUAGAUAGUAACUUGAAGCUGUAGAGAAAAAUAAAGGGCUCAAUGAAGUUACAUAUACGGGAAAUUAUAAAAGCUACUACUAUUGUAACAAUAGCUUCAAACUGAAUUUUUUGUUGUCUACAUGAUUUAAGAUGAAAAAAAGCAUUUAUUAGUAUAAAAUUACUAUUAGACUACUGUCACUUUGGUCUAUAACUCUAAACCUUAUUUAUUACAUAACUUGAGACUAAUACACUUAAAGAAUUAUUAGUUUAUGUUUUUGGGCACACAACGUAUAACUACGUAAUUUGGUGACAUAUACAACUGAAAGCGUGGGAGGAGUGCAGCUGUAAAGGAACAGAGUUUUUGUAUGUUUUGAAGUUAAGCUGGUGUAAAUUCAAAUUAGAGUGUUAUAACUUCAGGAUAUUAAAUGUAAUCCCCAUGGUGACAACAAAGAAAAGACCUACAGAAUAUACACAAAAGGAAAUAAGAAAGGAAUUUAAACAUUUCACCACAAAAAAUCAACUAAACACAAAAGAAGACAGGAAUGCAGGAAAUGAUGGACAAAAAUACUAUAAGGCAUAUAGAAAACAGCACAGUGACAGAAGUCUCUUUUUAUCAGUAAUUAUUUUCAUUGUAAAUGGAUUAAACUCUCCAAUCAGAAGACAGAGGCUGUCAGAAUGGAUAAAAACACAUGAUCCAACUAUAUUCAGCCUAUAAAAGACUCACUGAGAUCCAAAGACACAAACUGGUUGAAAGUGAAAGGAAGGAAAGAGAUAUUCUAUGCAAAUAGUAACCAAAAGAGGGCAGGAGUGGCUCUAUUUGACAAAAUAGACUUUAAAUUUAAAAUUGUUACUAGAAACUACUUGAAAAAGGAUAUGUUAAUAAAAGAUUCAAUACAGCAAGAAGACAUAACAAUUAUAAACAUUUACAUACGUAAUGACAGACCAGCAAAAUGUAUGAAGCAAAAACUGACAGAAUUGAAGGGAGAAAUAGACAGUUCUACGAUAUAGUAGGAGACAUCAAUACCCCACUUACGAUAGGGAGACCAGUCAGAAGAUAUAUAAGGAAAAAGGACUUAACACAAUGAGCCAUCAAAACUUAACAGACAUAUACAGAACACUGUACCCAACAACAAUAGAAUAAACAUUCUUCUCAAGUGCAUAUAUAGGACAUUUUCCAGGACAGAACAUAUGUUAGGCCACCAAUUACGUUUUAAUAGAUUUUAAAAGAUAGAUAUCAUACAAGGUAUCUUUUCUUACCACAAUGGGAUGAAGUUAGAAAUAACAAACAAAAGGAAAACUAAAAUGUUCAAAAAAUUGUGGAGAAAUUAUACACACACUUCUAAACAAUCAAUGAAUCAAAGAAGUCACAAGAGAAACUAGAAAAUACUUAGAGAGUUGAAUGAAAAUGAAAACACAACAGAGCAAAAUUUAUCGGACACAGUGAAAGUAGUGCUAAGGGGGAAAUUUAUAACUAUAAGCACAUUCAAAAAUGAAAGAUCUCAAGUCAGUAACCUAACUUUAAACUUAAGGAACUAGAAAAAGAAGAAAAAACUAAAUCCACAGACAGAAGAGGAAGGAAGUAAUAAGGAUUAGAGCAGAGAUAAAUAAAAUAGAAAAUAGAAAAACUAGAGAAAAUCAAUGAAACCAAAAGUUGAUUCUUUGAAAAGAUCAACAAAAUUGACAUACCUUUAGCUAAAUGGACUAAGAAAAAAGUUAAAUUACUAAAAUCAGAAAUGAAAGUAGAGAUAUUACUACCAGUUCUACAGAACUAGAAAGGAUUAUAAGAGAGUAUUGCAAACAAGUGUAUGCCAACAAAUUGGACAACCUAGAUGAAAUGGACAAAUUACUAGAAACACAGAACUUACCAAGACUAUCUAUCUCAUGAAGAAAUAGAAAAUAUGAGUAGACCUAUAACUAGUUGAGGAGAUUGAAUCAGUAAUCAAAAUUCUCCCAACCAAAAAUAAAGCCCUGGACCUGACAGUUUCUUUGGUGAAUUCCACCAAAUAUUUAAAGAACUAAUCUAAUGCUGAUCUUUCUCAAACUUUCCCAAAAAACUGAAGAGGAAGGAACAUUAACUAACUCACUCUGUAAGGCCAGCAUUACUGUGACACCAAAGCCAGACAAAGACACUACAAGAAAACUAUAGACCAAUAUCCCUUAUGAACACUGAUGCAAAAAUCCUCAACAAAAUAAUAGCAAACCAAAUUAAGCAGCAUAUUAAAAGGAUUUACACCAUGACCAAAUAGGAUUUAUAUCUGGAAUGCAAGGAUAGUUUUAACAUAUGAAAAUUGAUCAAUGUAAUACACCAAAUCAAUGGAAUGAAGGAAAAAAAACACAUGACCAUCUCAAUUGAUGCAGAAAAGGCAUCUGACAAAACUCAACACGCUUUCAUGAUUUAAAAUAACAAACUAGGCAUAGAAGGAAACUACCUCACCAUAAUAAAAGCCACCUAUAAAAAAAACCUACAGCAAACAUCACACUCAAUGGUGAAAGACCAAAAAGCACCUCCUCUAAGAUCAGGAACCAAGGCUAGGAUGUCUGCUUUCACCACUUCCAUUCAACAUAGUAUUGGAAGUUCAAGCCCUAGCAAUUAAGCAAGAAGAAAUAAAAGGCAUCCAAAUUGGAAAGGAAGAAAUAAAAUGAUCUCUGUUUGCAGAUGAUAUAUUUUAAAACCCUAGAGUCCACAAAAAACCUGUUUGAACUGAUACAUUAAUUCAGCAAAGUAUCAGGAUACAAACUCUACACACAAAAAGUUGCGUUUCUAUAAACAAAUAAUGAAAGAAAGGAAAUUACAAAAACAAUUCCAUGUACAAGAGUAUCAAAAAUAGAAUAGUUAGGAAUUAACUUAACCAAGGAGGUGAAAGAAUUGUAUAACAGAAACUACAAACAUUGCUGAAAGAAAUUAAAGAAGACAUAAAUAAACACAUCCCUUGUUCAUGGAUUAGAAGACUUAUUAAUAUUAUUAAAAUACCAAUACUGCCCAAAGCAAUCUAUGGAUUCAAUGUAAUCCCUAGCAAAAUCCCAAUGAUAUUUUUUGCAGAUAUAGAAAAAUUCAUUCUAAAAUUUAUACGGAAUCUCAAGAAACUCUGAAUGCCAAAAUAAUCUUGAAAAGGGAGAAGGAAAUUAGAGGGUUCACACUUCCUGAUUUCAAAACUUACUACAUUUCUACAGUAAUCAAGACAAUGUGGUACUGGUAUGAAGACAGACAUAGAGACUAAUGGACUAGAAUAGAGAGCCCAUGAAUAAAUCUUUGCAUAUAUGGUCAAGUGAUUUUUGACAAGGGUGCUAAAAUAUUCAACAGGGAAAGAACAGUCUUUCACCAAAUGAUGUUGGGAAAACUGGAUAUGGAUUCGCAAAAGAAGGAAGUUGGACCCUUACCUAGCACCUUAUACAAAAAUUAACUCAAAAUUGAUCAAGGGCCUAAAUGUAAUACUUAAAACAAUAAAAAUCUUAGAAGAAAACAUAGAGCAAAAGCUUCAUGACAUUGGAUUUGUCAAUGAUAUCUUGGAUAUGACACUAAAGGCACAGUUAAAUUUAAAAAAGAAAAAAAUAGACAAACUGAACUUAAUGAAAAUUUAAAAAUUUUUGUGCAUCACAGACACUAUUCACAGAGUAAAAAGGCAAAAUACAGAAUGGGAGAAAUAUUUGCAAAUCACAUACCUGAUAAGGGAUUAAUGUCCAGAAUAUAUAAAGAACUCCUAAAACUCAACAACAACAAAAAAUAAACAAACCAAUUCAGAAAUGGGCAAAGGACUUGAAUAGACAUUUCUCCAAAGAAAAUAUAUGAAUGGCCAAUAGGCAUAUAAAUAGAUGCUCAAUAGCACUAAUCAUUAGGGAAAUGCAAAUCAAAGCCACAGUGAGAUAUCAUCUCACACCUGUUAGAAUGGCCAUUAUUAAAAAAAACAGGGCUUCCCUGGUGGCACAGUGGUUGAGAGUCCGCCUGCCGAUGCAGGGGUCACGGGUUCGUGCCCGGGUCUGGGAAGAUCCCGCAUGCCGCAGAGCGGCUGGGCCCGUGAGCCAUGGCCGCUAAGCCUGUGCGUCCGGAGCCUGUGCUCCGCAACGGGAGAGGCCACAACAGUGAGAGGCCCGCGUACCGCAAAAAAAAAAAAAAAAAAAAAAAAAACAAACCCAGAAAAUAACAAGUGCUGUCAAGCAUGUAGAAAAAUCAGAGCCUGUGUGCACUGUUGGUGGGAAUGUAAAAUGGUAUAGCUGCUGUGAAAAACAGUAUGGAGGUUCCUCAAAAAAUUAAAAGUAGAAUUACCAUAUGAUCCAGCAAUUUCAUUUUGGGGUAUAUACCCAAGAGAAUGAAAAGCAACGUCUUGAAGAGACAUCUGUACAAUCGUGUACAUAGCAGCAUUAUUCACAAUAGCUAAAAUGUGGAAGCAACCCUGGUGUCCAUUGAUGGAAGAAUGGAUUAGCAAAAUGUGUUAUAAACAUACAAUAGAAUAUUAUUCAGCCUCAUAAAGGAAAGAAAUUCUGAAAUAUGCUACAACAUGGAUGAACCUUGAGGACAUUAUGCUAGAUGAAAUAAACCAAUCACGAAAAGACAAAUACUGUAUGAUUCUACUUAUAUGAGGUACUUAGUGUAGUCAAAAUCAUGAAGAAAGUAUACAGUGGUUUCCAAGGGCCAGGGGAGCAGAGAAUGGGGAGUUAUUAAUGGGUAUAGAGUUUCAGUUUUUGAAGAUGACAAGAGUUAUGGGAUGGUGGUGAUGGUUGUACAACAAUGUGAAUGUACUUAAUACCACUGAAGUGUACACUUAAAAAUGGCUAAGAUGGUAAAUGUUAUGUGUAUUUUUACUACAAUAAAAGAAUCAAACUCUAUAUUUUUGAGGGGGCUACUGGAAAAGAGGGUAUCUACCAGACUUACAGUUGUCAGAAUGUGAGGCUGGAAUUCCAUUUCGCCAGCAAGAGAGGAGAGUCUGAGAAUGGAACCAACCCAGAAGAGGCAGAAAUGACAUUAAAAUGGGGAAAAAACUUUGAAUCCUAGUGAUAUCCUUUGAGCCCCUUAUUUUAAGCCAUGGCUAAAGCCAGUCUUGUCCCUAGACUUUUUCCCUUACUAAGCCAACCAAUUCCCCUUUUAGCUAAGCCAUUUUUUUUAAAGAGUUUUUUGUUCCUUGCAAUGGAUGGAGUCCUGAUACAUACCUUCAAAACAUGAUUUAGUAGGAAGAGAAGAAAAUAGUCCCCAUGUCAGUAAGUGGAAGCUCCAUCUUCAGUUGCUCAGGCCUGGAAUUCUGGAGACCUCUAGCUCUCCUUUUUAUUGUUCAAACUCACACCCAAGCUAUCAGCAAAUUCUCUAGACUCUGUCAGAUAUAUCUAAAAUCUGAUCACUUCUCAUCCUCUCUAUGGCUACCACCUUGGUCCAGCCACCACUUUUUCUUGCCUGGAUAACUGCAAUAGCCCCUUAAAUGGUCUCCCCUUGUGGUUCAUCAUUCUACUCUCAAAACAACAGCCAAAGUGACCUUGCUGACACUUAAAGCACAUCAUGUCACUCCUCUGACCAAAACUCUCCAAACUCAGAGUAAAAAGUGAAGUCCUAAGCCAGGUUUUACAUGAUUUGUCCCCCUCAACUUCCAACACUUAUCUCACUUUAUUUCUUACCACUGUUCUCCUUUUUCAGUCUUCUCUACCCAAAUUAGCCUCCUUGGUCUUCCUAGAAGAUGACAGACAUGCUCCUUUCUCAUGGCCUUUGCACUUCUAGUACCUGCCCCGGGAAUAGAUCCCCCUGGGUGGUUCCCAAAUUUUUACCCUGCCUAUUCCAUUGAUGUUAGUUUUGGAUAUAUGACUUGAUUUAGCCAGUGGAAUGAGAAACAGGGACUUUAAACAUACUUUCAUGGUUUGGCAUGCCCUCCUGAACUCUUGUGAUUUACCAUGAGCAGAACAUACCCUAACUGGCUGCUGGUCUUGGGGUGGGGGGAGGAAGAAACGUAGAAUAGAUCUGAAACAACCCACAGUCUGGAUAUAAGUUCAACUGAUCCCCUAUUAGCCCAGUAGAGCCAUAGAUGAUCCAUGAACAGGAAAAUAGGUAUUUGCUAUUAUAAGCUACUGAGAUUCUGAGAAUUUUGUUUUAUGAAUAAAAUAUGAAUAGUGUUGAAACUGAUACCUAGAAAUAGAAUGCUGUCCUAAUAAAAACCUAAAUUAUGUGGCAAUCAUUGGCUUUGUGACUGAAUAACAACAGGUGGUUAUAGGAACCUAGAAAAAUAGUAACACAAGUUAUGUAGAGGUGAUACAUUUAGUAAAACUAUCUUCUGUGACAGGUACAUUUUCUGUCUUUCACACUAACAGAACUGAGUCACUGGGCAAAGAGAUUUUUGAGGCAGAAAGUUUAGACUAUGAGUUGGUUGUUGCUACCUUUAUUUGAUAAGGUGUGCUACAAGAAGGAAAUCAGCUCAAAAAAAUGUGGAUAAAAAAACUGAAUUGAGAGGGAAAACAGAGAGCCCCAAAUUCUAGAAUUUGUAGGUUGGCUUCAACAUAGCCUUGAGGCAAAGGUCAAAUCAAAGUAAUGGCUUUUACAUCUGGGGUAGACAAUCUCUAAGAUGACCUCUGAUGAUCCCCAUCUUUUAGUAUUCAUACCCUUCUGUAAUCCUAGGUCACUGGGCUAAACCUAGUGACUUACUUCUACUGAAUGGUAUAUGGCAAAAGUAAUGGGAUUCUGCUUCUGAGAUUAGGCUACCUUCACUGCAGUCUUUUCAGAGACCUUAGAUAAAGGAACCCAGAUAAGCCACUCCUGGAUUCCUGACCCACAGGAACUAUGUGAUAAUAAAUGUUUGUUGUUUAAAGCUGCUAAGAUUUGGGGUAAUUAGUUACUCAGCAAUAGAAAAUGAAUACAUCAUCUGUCUUGGUCCAUUCACCUGCUAUAACAAAAUACCUCUGACUGUGAGGCUAAUAAAUAAGGGACAUUUAUUUCUCAUAGUUCUGGAGGCUGGAAGGUUGAGAUGAGGGUGCCAGUAUGGUCAGAUGAGAGCUUUCUUUUGGGUUGUGGACUGCUUGUUGUAUCCUCACAAGGCAGAAGGGGCUAAGGAUCUUUCUGGAGCCUCUUUUAUAAGGUACUAAUCCCAUUCAGAGGGCUCUGCCCUCAUGACAUAAUCACCUCCCAAAGGCCCCACCUUCUUGUACCAUAAUAUGGGGCAUUAUAAUUUCAACAUAUGACUUUUGGGGGACAGAAAUAUGUAGACCAUAGCAUUCCACCCCUAAUCCCCUCAGAUUCAUGUCAUUCUCACAUGCAAAAUUCAUUCAUCCCAUCCCAACAACCCCUAACGUGUUAACUAAUUCCAGCAUCAACUCUAAAGUCCAAAAUCUUAUCUCUAUAACAUCUAAAUCAGAUAUGGAUGAGAUUCAAAAUAUGAUUCAUCCUGAGGUAAAUUUCCUGUCCAGUUGUGAACCCAUGAAACCAAUCAAGUUAUGUGCUUCCAAAAUACAACUGUGGGACAGGCAUAGGAUAAGACAUUCCCAUUGCAAAAGGGAGAAAAAGGAAAGAAGGAUGGGGGGAUGGGUCCCAAGCAAGCUCAAAACCUAGUAAAGCAGAUUCAAUGAGAUCUUAAUGGUCAUGAAUAAUCCUCCUGCCCCAAUGCUCUGCCUUCUGGACCCACUGGGGUGGCAGUAGCACACCAACAGCAUGGCAGGGUGCUACUCAUGCCUGGCUCUCUGUCCGGGCUCUGCCCACACCACAGUGCACAGCUCCAGGCGGCUCACCUCCAUGGCCUCUAUUGGAAGCCGUCUGCCCUGUUAAAACCUGUUGGUGUUAAUGGCCCUGAUGAUCUAUUAGUCACCUUCAGGGCUUUUAAAAAUUUGUCUUCAUGACACAAACAGAUGGAAAGAUAUACUGUGUUCUUAGAUUAGAAGAAUUAAUAUUGUUAAAAUGACCACACUACCCAAGGCAAUCUACAGAUUCAAUGCAAUCCCUAUCAAAAUACCAAUGGCAUUUUUCACAGAACUAGAACAAAUAUUUAAAAAAUUUGUAUGGUAACCUGAAAAACCCAAUAGCCAAAACAAUCUUGAGAAAGAAGAACAGAGCUGGAGGAAUCACACUCCCUGAUACUACAAAGCCACAGUAAUCAAAACAGUAUGGUGCUAGCACAAAAAUAAACACAUACAUCAGUGGAACAGAAUAGAGAGCCCAGAAAUAAACCCACACACUUAUGCUCAAUUAAUCUAUGACAAAGGAGGCAAGAAUAUACAAUGGAGAAAAGAAUCUCUUCACCAAGUGGGGGUGGGAAAACUGGACAGUUACAAGUAAAAGAAUGAAAUUAGAACAUUCACUAAUACCAUGUACAAAAAUAAAGUCAAAAUGGAUUAGAGACCUAAAUUUAAGACUGGAAACCAUAAAACUCCUAGAGGAAAACAUAGGCAGAACACACUGACAUGAAUUGUAGCAAUAUUUUUUGGAUUUAUCUCUUAAAGCAAAGGAAAUAAAAGCAAAAAUAAACAAAUGGGACCUAUUUAAACUUAAAAUCUUUUGCACAGCAAAGGAAACCAUAAACAAAACAAAAAGCCUACUGAAUGGGAGAAAAUAUUUGCAAAUGAUAUGAUUGAUAAAUGGUUAACAUCCAACAUAUAUAAACCGCCCAUAUGACUCAACAUCAAAAAAACAAACAGGGGCUUCCCCUGGUGGUGCAGUGGUUGAGAGUCCGCCUGCCAAUGCAGGGGACGCGGGUUCGUGCCCGGUCCGGGAAGAUCCCACAUGCCGCAGAGAGUCUAGGCCCGUGAGCCAUGGCCACUGAGCCUGUGCGUCCAGAGCCUGUGCUCCGCAAUGGGAGAGGCCACAACAGUGAGAGGCCCGCGUACCACAAAAAACAAACAAACAACCUGGGACUUCCCUGGUGGCCCAGUGGUUAAGACUCCACACUUCUACCACAGGGGGCAUGGGUUCGAUCCCUGGUCGGGGAACUAUGAUCCCACAUGCCACACAACCAAAAAAGAAAGAAAGAAAAAGAACAAACAAGCAAACAGAAAUCCAAACAACCCAAUUAAAAACUGGGCAGAAGAACUGAAUAGACAUUUUUCCAAAGAGAAAAUGCAGAUGGCCAACAGGUACAUGAAAAGAUGCUCAACACUGCUAAUCAUUAGGAAAAUGCAAAUCAAAACCACAAUGAGAUAUCACCUCACACCUGUCAGAAUGGCUAUCAUCAAAAAGAACACAAAUAACAAAUGAUGGUGAGAAUGUGGAGAAAAGGGAACCCUCAUACACUAUUGGUAAGAAUGUAAAUUGGUGGAUCCACUAUGGAAAACAAUAUGGUGGUUUCUCAAAAAUAGAACUACCAUAUGACCCAGCAAUUCCACUCCUGGGUAUAUAUCUGAAAAAAACAAGACCCCUCAUUUGAAAAGAUACAUCCAUCCCAAUGUUCACAGCAGCAUUAUUUACAAUUGCCAAGAUAUGGAAGCAACCUAAGGAAGUGUCCAUUAACAGAUGAAUGGAUAAAGACGACGUGUGUGUGAG
Molecule: long non-coding RNA, 10164 nt
Organism: Physeter macrocephalus (sperm whale)
Lineage: Eukaryota; Metazoa; Chordata; Mammalia; Artiodactyla; Physeteridae
Exons: 3
Source: RefSeq, a predicted model, not a curated record